UACGGAGGGUGCAAGCGUUGUCCGGAUUUAUUGGGUUUAAAGGGUGCGUAGGCGGCUUUUUAAGUCAGUGGUGAAAGCCUCUAGCUUAACUGGAGAACAGCCAUUGAUACUGAAAAGCUUGAGUACAGACGAGGUAGGCGGAAUUUAUGGUGUAGCGGUGAAAUGCAUAGAUACCAUAAAGAACUCCUAUUGCGAAGGCAGCUUACUAGGCUGUAACUGACGCUGAGGCACGAAAGCGUGGGGAUCAAACAGG
This 253-nucleotide ribosomal RNA is filed under the name uncultured bacterium. RNAcentral describes it as "partial 16S ribosomal RNA". It matches the Rfam family "Bacterial small subunit ribosomal RNA", at positions 524 to 776 of the family's 1533-position model. The record is from RNAcentral.